Molecule: ribosomal RNA, 407 nt
Filed under: uncultured bacterium
Lineage: Bacteria
Description: partial 16S ribosomal RNA
Rfam family: Bacterial small subunit ribosomal RNA
Source: RNAcentral
AUUGAACGCUGGCGGCAGGCCUAACACAUGCAAGUCGAGCGGAGCGGCGGACGGGUGAGUAAUGCCUAGGAAUCUGCCUGGUAGUGGGGGAUAACGUCCGGAAACGGGCGCUAAUAUCGCAUACUAUCAGAUGAGCCUAGGUCGGAUUAGCUAGUUGGUGGGGUAAAGGCCUACCAAGGCGACAAUCCGUAACUGGUCUGGGAGGAUGAUCAAUCACAAUGGAACCUGAGCAAGGUCCAGAAUGCCAAGGGAGGCAGGAGUUGGGAAUAUUGGACAAUGGGCGAAAGCCUGAUCCAGCCAUGCCGCGUGUGUGAAGAAGGUCUUCGGAUUGUAAAGCACUUUAAGUUGGGAGGCGUUACCAACAGAAUAAGCACCGGCUAACUUCGUGCCAGCAGCCGCGGUAAUAC